Leucoraja erinaceus (little skate) is the source of this 1083-nucleotide long non-coding RNA. RefSeq lists it as uncharacterized. The record is from RefSeq and is a predicted model, not a curated record. The transcript has 4 exons. NCBI's taxonomy places the organism in Eukaryota, Metazoa, Chordata, Chondrichthyes, Rajiformes, Rajidae.
CCCCACGAGGCAGCCGCGCGCUCGCGCCUCGACUCAAAAGCAACGGCUCAGCGUUCGCUCGCUCGCUCGCUCGCCCCCCGGGAGAGGGAAGGAGUGGGAGUGGGGCUUCGGCCGCUCGCAUUUACAUCUUUAACAGAACCCUGAUGAUGGAGGGGAAGAAGCUGUUCCUGAGUCUGGUGGUACAUGAUUUCCCCUCGGGAAUGGGAUCAUUUUUCGUCUGAAGAACGGCCUGAAUUGUUACCACACAAAGGGGUCAACUUGGCCUAGUGAUGAUGUCGAUAUCCUCCACUGCUCCGUGUCACUGUAGGCUGCACAUCUACACGCUCGACUUCUGUGGGAUCUCCAGCGGUGCAUCCAAUCCACGCGAUCCCCCAGCUGCUGCAGGGCCUCCAGUAGCCGACAUUUUGACCCACGAGCAUGCCAUCUCCUCGCCUCCCGCUGCUACCGCUUCACUUCCAUGCACUGGGGCACCUCUGCGCAGCCGACCGUGGAUCGCCAGGAUGUCUCCGAGAGUGCAGCAGACGAGCCCACAAUCCACGCACCGGCAUUGAUCUUCUCCUCUAUUCAUGAUGCAAGAGUGUCUCCAGAUGAAUAGAUAUUUCAAGAAACCAGCACAGGAAUGAAUCAUUGAACAAACUCCUCACAGGAUGUUAUAAGCUACUUACAAGAUUUGUAUCAAUGUAAACUUUACGGUUCUGAAGUUUGAGCUGCAAUAUGAAACAUUCUUCUGUAAAUCAUCACACAUUUCUUGACUCUUUAAUUCUGUGUUGUUAGUAUUUGUGCAAUUAAUUAAAAAACGGAUAUAUUUAUUUUUGUUAUAUAUUAAAAUGUGUGAAGUAAACUAGUUGAAACAGCUGUACUUUAUUACAUUUAAUAGACUCCCACUUAAAAUGUUGUUUCAACAUCUUUCCAGGAAGGCUAUACAAAUUUCAAAACUGCAACUUGAACAGUUGCUUGAUAAAAAAAAUUAUGGAAAAAUAGCGAUUUACCAUAAUCUGACUUGCCAAUGACAUUUCAUGGCCUUUUUUAGCCUGCCUAAUCACCUGCUUGAGUGCUUUCCUGCCGCUUUAUAGUCCUCAUAAG